AGCGAACGCUGGCGGCAGGCCUAACACAUGCAAGUCGAACGAACCUUUCGGGGUUAGUGGCGGACGGGGGAGUACCACGUGGGAACGUGCCUUUAGGUUCGGAAUAACUCAGGGAAACUUGUGCUAAUACCGAAUGUGCCCUUCGGGGGAAAGAUUAAUCGCCUUUAGAGCGGCCCGCGUCUGAUUCGCUAGUUGGUUGAGGUAAUGGCUCACCAAGGCGACGAUCAGUAGCUGGUCUGAGAGGAUGAUCAGCCACAUUGGGACUGAGACACGGCCCAAACUCCUACGGGAGGCAGCAGUGGGGAAUCUUGCGCAAUGGGCGAAAGCCUGACGCAGCCAUGCCGCGUGAAUGAUGAAGGUCUUAGGAUUGUAAAAUUCUUUCACCGGGGACGAUAAUGACGGUACCCGGAGAAGAAGCCCCGGCUAACUUCGUG
RNAcentral lists this ribosomal RNA (434 nucleotides) under uncultured bacterium. RNAcentral's name for it is "partial 16S ribosomal RNA". It matches the Rfam family "Bacterial small subunit ribosomal RNA", at positions 29 to 507 of the family's 1533-position model. The record is from RNAcentral.